Molecule: ribosomal RNA, 763 nt
Filed under: uncultured cyanobacterium
Lineage: Bacteria; Bacillati; Cyanobacteriota
Description: bacterial SSU rRNA
Rfam family: Bacterial small subunit ribosomal RNA
Source: RNAcentral
UCCGCAGGGGGCACAUCAAGUCUGCUGUUAAAGGCUGGAGCUUAACUCCGGUAGAGCAGUGGAAACUGGUGUGCUAGAGGGCGACAGGGGUAGAGGGAAUUCCCAGUGUAGCGGUGAAAUGCGUAGAGAUUGGGAAGAACACCGGUGGCGAAAGCGCUCUACUGGGUCGCACCUGACCCUCAGGGACGAAAGCUAAGGUAGCGAAAGGGAUUAGAUACCCCUGUAGUCUUAGCCGUAAACGAUGGAUACUAGGCGUGGUUUGUAUCGACCCAAGCCGUGCCGAAGCUAACGCGUUAAGUAUCCCGCCUGGGGAGUACGCACGCAAGUGUGAAACUCAAAGGAAUUGACGGGGGCCCGCACAAGCGGUGGAGGAUGUGGUUUAAUUCGAUGCAACGCGAAGAACCUUACCAGGGCUUGACAUCCCGCGAAUCCCCAUGAAAGUGGGGAGUGCCUUCGGGAGCGCGGAGACAGGUGGUGCAUGGCUGUCGUCAGCUCGUGUCGUGAGAUGUUGGGUUAAGUCCCGCAACGAGCGCAACCCUCGUCCUUAGUUGCCAGCAUUAAGUUGGGCACUCUAGGGAGACUGCCGGUGACAAACCGGAGGAAGGUGAGGAUGACGUCAAGUCAGCAUGCCCCUUAUGCUCUGGGCAACACACGUCCUACAAUGGUCGGGACAAAGGGGAGCGAGCUCGCGAGAGUCAGCGAAUCCCAGCAAACUCGGCCUCAGUUCAGAUGGCAGGCUGCAACUCGCCUGCCUGAAGGAGGA